Molecule: ribosomal RNA, 301 nt
Filed under: uncultured bacterium
Lineage: Bacteria
Description: partial 16S ribosomal RNA
Rfam family: Bacterial small subunit ribosomal RNA
Source: RNAcentral
CAGCAGCCGCGGUAAUACGAAGGUCCCGAGCGUUGUUCGGAAUCACUGGGCGUAAAGGGAGCGUAGGCGGCGUGGUAAGUCAGAUGUGAAAUCCCGGGGCUCAACCCCGGAGCUGCAUCCGAUACUGCCAUGCUAGAGGAUUGGAGAGGUAGCUGGAAUUCUUGGUGUAGCAGUGAAAUGCGUGGAGAUCAAGAGGAACACUCGUGGCGAAAGCGAGCUACUGGACAAUAACUGACGCUGAGGCUCGAAGGCCAGGGUAGCGAAAGGGAUUAGAUACCCCUGUAGUCCCUGUCUCUUAUAC